This 501-nucleotide ribosomal RNA is filed under the name uncultured bacterium. RNAcentral describes it as "partial 16S ribosomal RNA". It matches the Rfam family "Bacterial small subunit ribosomal RNA", at positions 30 to 523 of the family's 1533-position model. The record is from RNAcentral.
AUUGAACGCUGGCGGCAGGCUUAACACAUGCAAGUCGAGCGGGGGAAGGUAGCUUGCUACCGGACCUAGCGGCGGACGGGUGAGUAAUGCUUAGGAAUCUGCCUAUUAGUGGGGGACAACAUCUCGAAAGGGAUGCUAAUACCGCAUACGUCCUACGGGAGAAAGCAGGGGAUCUUCGGACCUUGCGCUAAUAGAUGAGCCUAAGUCGGAUUAGCUAGUGGGUGGGGUAAAGGCCUACCAAGGCGACGAUCUGUAGCGGGUCUGAGAGGAUGAUCCGCCAGACUGGGACUGUGACACGGCCCAGACUCCUACGGGAGGCAGCAGUGGGGAAUAUUGGACAAUGGGGGGAACCCUGAUCUAGCCAUGCCGCGUGUGUGAAGAAGGCCUUAUGGUUGUAAAGCACUUUAAGCGAGGAGGAGGCUACUCUAGUUAAUACCUAGGGAUAGUGGACGUUACUCGCAGAAUAAGCACCGGCUAACUCUGUGCCAGCCGCCGCCGUAA